This 478-nucleotide ribosomal RNA is filed under the name uncultured bacterium. RNAcentral describes it as "partial 16S ribosomal RNA". It matches the Rfam family "Bacterial small subunit ribosomal RNA", at positions 28 to 523 of the family's 1533-position model. The record is from RNAcentral.
GACGAACGCUGGCGGCGUGCUUAACACAUGCAAGUCGAACGGUAAGGCCCUUCGGGGUACACGAGUGGCGAACGGGUGAGUAACACGUGAGUAACCUGCCCUUGACUCUGGGAUAACUGCUAGAAAUGGUAGCUAAUACCGGAUACGACCCUCGGUGGCAUCACCAGGGGGUGGAAAGAAUUUCGGUCAAGGAUGGACUCGCGGCCUAUCAGCUAAUUGGUGAGGUAACGGCUCACCAAGGCGACGACGGGUAGCCGGCCUGAGAGGGUGACCGGCCACACUGGGACUGAGACACGGCCCAGACUCCUACGGGAGGCAGCAGUGGGGAAUAUUGCACAAUGGGCGCAAGCCUGAUGCAGCAACGCCGCGUGAGGGAUGACGGCCUUCGGGUUGUAAACCUCUUUUAGUAGGGAAGAAGCGAAAGUGACGGUACCUGCAGAAAAAGCACCGGCUAACUACGUGCCAGCAGCCGCAGUAA